RNAcentral lists this non-coding RNA (21 nucleotides) under Arabidopsis thaliana (thale cress). The record is from RNAcentral. Lineage: Eukaryota; Viridiplantae; Streptophyta; Magnoliopsida; Brassicales; Brassicaceae.
UGGAGAUGCCAAGCUUACCUG